GAUGGACCCGCGGUGCAUUAGCUAGUUGGUGAGGUAACGGCUCACCAAGGCAACGAUGCAUAGCCGACCUGAGAGGGUGAUCGGCCACACUGGGACUGAGACACGGCCCAGACUCCUACGGGAGGCAGCAGUAGGGAAUCUUCGGCAAUGGACGAAAGUCUGACCGAGCAACGCCGCGUGAGUGAAGAAGGUUUUCGGAUCGUAAAACUCUGUUGUUAGAGAAGAACAAGGAUGAGAGUAAAACGUUCAUCCCUUGACGGUAUCUAACCAGAAAGCCACGGCUAACUACGUGCCAGCAGCCGCGGUAAUACGUAGGUGGCAAGCGUUGUCCGGAUUUAUUGGGCGUAAAGCGAGCGCAGGCGGUUUCUUAAGUCUGAUGUGAAAGCCCCCGGCUCAACCGGGGAGGGUCAUUGGAAACUGGGAGACUUGAGUGCAGAAGAGGAGAGUGGAAUUCCAUGUGUAGCGGUGAAAUGCGUAGAUAUAUGGAGGAACACCAGUGGCGAAGGCGGCUCUCUGGUCUGUAACUGACGCUGAGGCUCGAAAGCGUGGGGAGCGAACAGGAUUAGAUACCCUGGUAGUCCACGCCGUAAACGAUGAGUGCUAAGUGUUGGAGGGUUUCCGCCCUUCAGUGCUGCAGCAAACGCAUUAAGCAC
This 653-nucleotide ribosomal RNA is filed under the name Enterococcus sp. RNAcentral's name for it is "bacterial SSU rRNA". It matches the Rfam family "Bacterial small subunit ribosomal RNA", at positions 224 to 867 of the family's 1533-position model. Lineage: Bacteria; Bacillati; Bacillota; Bacilli; Lactobacillales; Enterococcaceae. The record is from RNAcentral.